ACAUCGGAUGGAUCUACUUCA
This 21-nucleotide non-coding RNA is filed under the name Arabidopsis thaliana (thale cress). Lineage: Eukaryota; Viridiplantae; Streptophyta; Magnoliopsida; Brassicales; Brassicaceae. The record is from RNAcentral.